RNAcentral lists this ribosomal RNA (760 nucleotides) under uncultured fungus. Its description in RNAcentral is "partial 18S ribosomal RNA". It matches the Rfam family "Eukaryotic small subunit ribosomal RNA", at positions 830 to 1596 of the family's 1831-position model. The record is from RNAcentral. Lineage: Eukaryota; Fungi.
ACNGGCGCUAUUUNGUUGGUUCUAGGAUCGCCGUAAUGAUUAAUAGGGAUAGUCGGGGGCAUUCGUAUUCAAUUGCUAGAGGUGAAAUUCUUGGAUUUAUUGAANACGAACUACUGCGAAAGCAUUUGCCAAGGAUGUUUUCAUUGAUCAAGAACGAAGGUUAGGGGACCGAAGACGAUCAGAUACCGUCGUAGUCUUAACCAUAAACUAUGCCGAUUANGGAUCGGACGGUGUUAUUUUUUGACCCGUUCGGCACCUUACGAUAAAUCAAAAUGUUUGGGCUCCUGGGGGAGUAUGGUCGCAAGGCUGANACUUAAAGAAAUUGACGGAAGGGCACCACCAGGGGUGGAGCCUGCGGCUUAAUUUGACUCAACACGGGGAAACUCACCAGGUCCAGACACGAUGAGGAUUGACAGAUUGAGAGCUCUNUCUUGANNUCGNGGGUGGUGGUGCAUGGCCGUUCUUAGUUGGUGGAGUGAUUNGUCUGCUUAAUCGCGAUAACGAACGAGACCUUAACCUGCUAAAUAGCCCGUAUUGCUUGNANAGUACGCUGGCUUCUUAAAGGGACUAUCGNCUCANNCCGAUGNANUUUGAGGCAAUAACAGGUCUGUNAUNCCCUUAAAUUUCUGGNCCGCANGCGCNCUAUNCUGANAGANNCAGGGAGUUCUCCCUUGNCNGAAGGUCNGGUAAUCUNGUUNAACUCUGUGGGGCUGGGGAUAAACAUUGCANUAAUCGAAUCCNGCGGCCCCAUGCNGGCCGG